Molecule: small RNA, 839 nt
Filed under: Histoplasma capsulatum var. duboisii H88
Lineage: Eukaryota; Fungi; Ascomycota; Eurotiomycetes; Onygenales; Ajellomycetaceae
Description: Histoplasma capsulatum H88 hypothetical RNA
Source: RNAcentral
GCUCAGUACGCAGUAAAUAAAUGCAUGUCUAGAUAGAUAAUUGAUAAUUGUGGAAAAAUCCACCUGCCUGCGCAUCUACAGAUCUGUGUGUAUACACUCGCUCCCUUUCCUAUCUCGCAGACCUCAAAAACCCCACAACCCCCCUACAAUACCCCACUAACUCCGCCAACCUCCUCCCCUCCCGCUCCUGCUCAACCUUCCACCGCGCCAACGCCUCCCGCAGCGCUGCCCGCGUAGUCUCUGCCUCGUUGUCGUCCCCACCACCAUCCCGAAAACCAGCACCAACACUCUCCCCUUCAACAGCAACAUCCCCAUGCACCCUCAAGAACACAGCCAUCCACGCAUUCACAAGCUCAAAGUCCCUCCUCGUCCUCAGCUGUGCGGUCAGCGCCUCCACGAACGCCACCAGCUCGUUCAUGCCCUGCUUGCGCCCGCUGAGCAGGCCCGGGUCGAGAGAGCGGAUUUCUAGAUCGGCUUUGGCGGGCGGCAGGGAUUUGAGGUACUCGAUGAAUGGCGCGUAGUGGUUGCUGUCACUGCUGUUACCGUUGUUACCGUUGUUACCGUUGUUGCUGCCGGAGGAGCAUGAGUGGAGGAGGGCGGUGAAAGUUGAGGGUUGCAUGCUGGGGUCAUUGGCGAGUUGGAGCUUGGCGAUCCGGGAUCGUUCGGCCGGCGUGGUCUUCUUGGUUCCUGAGCUGCCUUCUGCUGCUGCUGCUGCUGCUGCUGGUGCGGAGACGAGUUGCGUGGAGGAGUCGGAGUCAGGCUUUGAGAGGGUUGAAGGGAGGAAGAAUGGCGCUUUCUGCGGGACCUUGGGCGGUUCUUUGGGCUUGUUUCUUUCCUGU